This is a long non-coding RNA of Sinocyclocheilus grahami, 172 nucleotides long. RefSeq lists it as uncharacterized. The transcript has 3 exons. The record is from RefSeq and is a predicted model, not a curated record. NCBI's taxonomy places the organism in Eukaryota, Metazoa, Chordata, Actinopteri, Cypriniformes, Cyprinidae.
UCUUAACAGGGUCCUCAAGGGCCUUUGGGAGUAUUAGGUCCAUUGGGUGAGAUUGGAGCAGUGGGUUUACCUGGGAAGGUUGGGGAGCGAGGCUUACCAGGUGAACCAGGAGAGAAGGGUGCUGCUGGAUCUCUUGGGAAUAUGGGAGAGCAAGGCUUGAUUGGACCUCGAG